AUUGAACGCUGGCGGCAGGCCUAACACAUGCAAGUCGAACGGUAACAGGGAUCAGCUUGCUGAGUCGCUGACGAGUGGCGGACGGGUGUGCUAUGUCUGGGAAACUGCCUGAUGGAGGGGGAUAACUACUGGAAACGGUAGCUAAUACCGCAUAACGUCGCAAGACCAAAGAGGGGGACCUUCGGGCCUCUUGCCAUCGGAUGUGCCCAGAUGGGAUUAGCUAGAAGGUGGGGUAACGGCUCACCUAGGCGACGAUCCCUAGCUGGUCUGAGAGGAUGACCAGCCACACGGGAACUGAGACACGGUCCAGACUCCUACGGGAGGCAGCAGUGGGGAAUAUUGCACAAUGGGCGCAAGCCUGAUGCAGCCAUGCCGCGUGUAUGAAGAAGGCCUUCGGGUUGUAAAGUACUUUCAGCGGGGAGGAAGGGAGUAAAGUUAAUACCUUUGCUCAUUGACGUUACCCGCAGAAGAAGCACCGGCUAACUCCGUG
This 490-nucleotide ribosomal RNA is filed under the name uncultured bacterium. RNAcentral's name for it is "partial 16S ribosomal RNA". It matches the Rfam family "Bacterial small subunit ribosomal RNA", at positions 30 to 507 of the family's 1533-position model. The record is from RNAcentral.